GGGUGCGAUCAUACCAGCACUAAUGCAUCGGGACCAAUCGAAGCUCCCAAGAUAAGCGAGCCUAGGCGAGAGAAGUACUAGGAUGGUGACCUCCUAGGAAGUCCUCGUGUUGCACCCU
Molecule: ribosomal RNA, 118 nt
Filed under: Gossypium arboreum
Lineage: Eukaryota; Viridiplantae; Streptophyta; Magnoliopsida; Malvales; Malvaceae
Source: RNAcentral